This 45-nucleotide non-coding RNA is filed under the name Schistosoma bovis. RNAcentral also lists the same sequence under 1 other name. Lineage: Eukaryota; Metazoa; Platyhelminthes; Trematoda; Strigeidida; Schistosomatidae. The record is from RNAcentral.
AUCAAGCUGACGAGUCUCAAAUAGGACGAAACGUGCGUCCUGGAU